RNAcentral lists this ribosomal RNA (274 nucleotides) under uncultured bacterium. RNAcentral's name for it is "partial 16S ribosomal RNA". It matches the Rfam family "Bacterial small subunit ribosomal RNA", at positions 523 to 796 of the family's 1533-position model. The record is from RNAcentral.
AUACGGAGGGUGCGAGCGUUACUCGGAGUCACUGGGCGUAAAGCGUCCGUAGGCGGUCGGGUAAGUCGGGUGUGAAAGCCCCGGGCUCAACCUGGGAAGUGCACCCGAUACUGCUCGACUCGAGUGCGGGAGAGGAUGGCGGAAUUCCCGGUGUAGCGGUGAAAUGCGUAGAGAUCUGGAGGAACACCAGUGGCGAAGGCGGCCAUCUGGCCCGCAACUGGCGCUGAGGGACGAAAGCGUGGGGAGCAAACAGGAUUAGAAACCCUAGUAGUCC